RNAcentral lists this ribosomal RNA (481 nucleotides) under uncultured bacterium. Its description in RNAcentral is "bacterial SSU rRNA". It matches the Rfam family "Bacterial small subunit ribosomal RNA", at positions 35 to 504 of the family's 1533-position model. The record is from RNAcentral.
GCUGGCGGCGUGCUUAACACAUGCAAGUCGAACGAAGAGCGAUGGAAGCUUGCUUCUAUCAAUCUUAGUGGCGAACGGGUGAGUAACGCGUAAUCAACCUGCCCUUCAGAGGGGGACAACAGUUGGAAACGACUGCUAAUACCGCAUACGAUCUAAUCUCGGCAUCGAGGAUAGAUGAAAGGUGGCCUCUACAUGUAAGCUAUCACUGGAGGAGGGGAUUGCGUCUGAUUAGCUAGUUGGAGGGGUAACGGCCCACCAAGGCGAUGAUCAGUAGCCGGUCUGAGAGGAUGAACGGCCACAUUGGGACUGAGACACGGCCCAGACUCCUACGGGAGGCAGCAGUGGGGAAUCUUGCACAAUGGGCGAAAGCCUGAUGCAGCGACGCCGCGUGCGGGACGAAGGCCUUCGGGUCGUAAACCGCUUUCAGCAGGGACGAGGCCGCAGGGUGACGGUACCUGCAGAAGAAGCCCCGGCUAACUAC